Long non-coding RNA from Dioscorea cayenensis subsp. rotundata (Guinea yam), 1543 nucleotides. RefSeq lists it as uncharacterized. The record is from RefSeq and is a predicted model, not a curated record. Lineage: Eukaryota; Viridiplantae; Streptophyta; Magnoliopsida; Dioscoreales; Dioscoreaceae. The transcript is spliced from 5 exons.
ACUUUGCCAGCACAAAGCUUGAAAACAGAACCAAAAAUUUUGAAAGUUAAAAAAUGAGGAGGGAGUUGGAAAAUGGAAUAGCAGAGGCAGAGAGGUAGGUGAGAGGACAUUGUAAGUAAUUCCUCUCUUUCUCUCUCUCUUUGUCAUUUGAUACCCCAAAAAGAGUUUCACAUGCACCAAUCAAAAUCGGAAUCAAGCGCGAACGAAGGUCUUCGGAAAACUCCGUCACGGCCGGACAAUCAAAAUCUAGGUAUAAAUCCUCAUACUCCAUUAGCUAGGGCAUUUCUAUCCGGUGAGAGUAGUGGUUUAGGGCAGUGAAGAUGGAGAUGAAGAGGCCGGUAGUGAUGGUGGUUGAGGGAUGGAGUGAGGAAGCCGGUAGUGAUGGUUGUUGAGGGAUGGAGAGAGAGAGAGAGAGAGCGAGAGAAAGAUGGAGAUGAGGAGGCCGGUAGUGAUGGUGGUUAAGGGAUGGAGUGAGGAGGCCGGUAGUGAUGGUUGUUGAGGGAUGGAGAGAGAGAGAGAGAGAGUGAGUGAUGAGCGGUAGUGGGAAGACUGAGAGGACUUGGUUCGUUCUCGACCCCUGGUUCUUCCCGGCGCUCUCGGCUCUCUUGCUCCGCCCUCACCGCCCUCACGAUCCCGCCAAUGACGACCAUGAGUGAUGAUGGAGAGAGGACGUGCCCCCUCUGUGCGGAGGAGAUGGACCUCACUGACCAACAACUGAAACCUUGCAAAUGUGGAUAUGAGUUCUCAAUUCGACGGUGUUGUGCUCGAUGUGGAUAGUGGGGGUGUGCGGGAGCCAGUACAGCAGUGCUUGUGGGAUUGUCAGGUGUUGGUUUUCAGGGAAGCACGCCUACUUGGAGGGGAUUCCGACGAGUUGGGGAGCACACACGGCGUUGCUGGAGGAGUUGUAGGAGGAGUUUGGGUUUUUGAGGGUGAAGAGGGUGAUGGUGGUUUGUAGGGUGGUGGCGGGGAGGGUGGCGCAUGGCGCACUGCAGUGGUUUGACUGUGUAUUGUAUUUUAUAUAUCAAUUGCUUUAACUUUUGUUUGCAGAUGUCUCAACCACAACUAUAGUAGGACCUGGCCCAGUUAUAGACUUUCUCAAAUUGAUUGGUCAAAAGCAAAACGGAUACUGAAGAAUUUAAGGAUAAAAGCUCCUUCUUCAAACACAGAGUAUAGGAUUGUUGGUUUGAGUGAACUGCCCUGCAAUCAUCAAUUGUGAUGAGACAUCCAGAGACUGGGACAAAGCAUGGUCAAGUUUCAGAAAUAAAGGGAAGAAAUCAGCAAUGAGAAAAAUUACCUCCCUCUAAUGCUUGUUUGAGUUUUAUUUUUCCACAUGAUUACUAGGAUGUUCUGAUCAAUGCCUACAUAGAUUGUUCUUUUAUGGAUUAGAGUGUUUAUGUUCGUUCGUUUGGUAGUUGACUUUGGAUGCUUGUGAGCUUUUCUAUAGAAGUGUAUGGUUUUGUGUUCUGGUUCAUCAUCAGUCUUUUUGUAACUCUUUGGUAAAUUGACCAGACUUUUUGAUCUAUAUGCUUAUUGCCUUUUGAUA